CGUAAAUACACAAAAGCCACUGUCAAAUAUUUUUGGUAAUACAAAUAAAAAUAAUACUAUUUUGGACUCUAGUAAUAAUACCAUGGGCAAACUAAUUCAACCUAGUAUUUUUGGAAAUAAUACUGCUAGUGGUAAUCAGAGCCCUUUUAAUAAAACAACUGACAUGUUUUCUACGAACAACAACUUGACGAAUAAUGCCAACGCAAGUACUACUGUUGGUAUGGGUAUAACAGGAUUGAAUAACAACAAUAGUGGUAAUACAUUUUUUGGAUUUGGUAACAAUAAUAUGUUAGGUGUUCAAAGUAAUAAUAAUACAAACAUAAGUACAGACACAGGCAAUAAUAACAAAACAAACGAAUUAAACAAAAGUACGAUAAAUUUAUUUAAUUUUACAAAUAGAACAGCUAAUAAUUCUAAUUAUGCCGAAUUAUUCACUAAUGAAACGGGAUCGAAAGAACUAUUUAAAGACCUAAAACUUAGUAACGAUACUGGUCCUAAAUUUAGUGUUAAUAAAAGACCUUUAUUUGGUAGUAGAGCCAAAGAAACGAGUAUGCUAGUAUCCAAUACUGCUACUACUAAUAUUACUAGUAGUACUACUGAUAUAAAUAGUACAAAUAAUAUCUUUAGUUCUUCUUAUGUAAAUAGAGAUAAUUUAUUAACCAGUCAGGAAAAACCUAUGAAAGUUAUAUUUGGUCAACGCAAUAAUACUACUACAACUAACAAUAAUAAUGAUGUUUCUAAUACUGGCAUGUGUACUAGUAAUAACACUACUGGUUUUGGUGUGACAUCUGGUAAUUCCAUUUUUGGCACAUCUAGUAACAUCACAAACAAUAACAAUCUUAUGAACCCUUUAACAAAUAAUGUUGUUAAAGGUGGUAUGUUUAAUCAAGGAGACAGCAGUAACAACAUCAUCAACAACAACAAUAGUGGUAUUAUUAGUGACAAUAAUAAUAAUAGUAUUAUUGCACAAUCAGAAACAAACAAAUUCACUUUUAAUGCCUCUUCAACUAGUAAUUUGUUCGGAAACAGUAUGAAUAUGUUUGGAAAAAAUAACAAAGAAACUACUGAUGGUAGUACUACUAAUAGUAUCAACAAUAAUUUGACACUUUUUGGAAAUAAUACAAAAAACAAUUUAAUGGACAAAAAUAAUAAUGAUACUACACUUACUACAAGUGGUAAUAAUUUAUUUCGUAAUUUAAAUGAUAAUACUACAGCAAACCAAACAAAUAAUACAUCAGUUUUAAAUAUACCAACAAAAAAAUUAACCUUAGAAGAAAGAAAAAAAAAAACUGCUAAAAAUAAAAGCAUUGUUUCAUUAUUUUCACAUAACACUCAGAACACAAAUGAUAGUACUAAUAAUAUAAAUAAUACAUCUAAUUUUAUGGACAAGUUUAAUCAAUUAACCCCAAUGAAUAAUAAUAAAAACAACAACCUAUUUGGUAUUAACACGACGGCAAAUAAUAAUAAUGCUACCAACAAUAUGAGUCUUUUUGGUUUUUCUAAAACAUCCGCACUAACUACACAAAAUAAUUAUGAUGAUAAAAUGGAACCUUCCAGAAAAAUGAUCAAUAUAUUUGGUAAACCAGCCAGUAUUACUAAUUUGUUGUUAAAGCCGGAUGAAAAAGAUAAUAAAGACAAACCAUUUAGUUUACCUAUUGGAGAAAGCGGUAAAAAUACAGCGUUUUUUAGUGGCAUUUUAACUAAACCGGGAGCCACUGCAGCUGUAAGUUCAGAUGAUAAAACAAGUUCAGAUGUCAAGGAAAACGAAAAUAAUGUAACUAAAAAUGCGACUAAAAAUAUUUUCUCCUUCAGCUUUGCAAAGAGUGAUGAAAAGGGUAAUACUGAAACAGGUAUACAGAACGAAACAAACAAACAAAUGGUAAAUUUAAAAGAAGAUUCUAAAAAUGAUACGAAGGUGGGUGAUACGAAAAUGGGUGAUACGAAAAUGGGUGAUACGAAAAUGGGUGAUACGAAGGUGGGUGAUACGAAAAUGGGUGAUACGAAGGUGGGUGAUACGAAGGUAGGUGAUACGAAGGUGGGUGAUACAAAAGCGAGUGAUACAAAAGCAGAUGAUGAUACAAAAACGGGUGAUAGUGCGGCUGUCGAAGCAAACACAUUAAGUACAGAUUCCAGCAACAAAACAAAAAGCAUUUUCUUCGAAGACACAAACAAAAUAAAAUUGUUUAAUAAAACAGAUGCACCCGAUACAAAUGACGGAGAAGCCGAAAAAGGAGAUUCACUUCAACAAAAAAAAAAACUUUCUUUUCGUUUAAUUUUGGCAGUAAAGAAAAUACAUUUACAUCUACUCCUCCUAAGCAAGAAAAAUCUAUUGAUAAAGUUACUACUGACGCUGAUCUUAAUGUUGUGGAUAAUGAAGAAGAAAAGGGGCAAAAAAAAAAAAGAACCAUAUCAUUUAGUGAUGCUUUAAAUAUAGGAAGCAAAAUUAAAAAGUCCAUUUUCAAAUUGGGUAUAAAUAAAGAAGAAGAUGUAGAACA
Molecule: long non-coding RNA, 2495 nt
Filed under: Piliocolobus tephrosceles (Ugandan red Colobus)
Lineage: Eukaryota; Metazoa; Chordata; Mammalia; Primates; Cercopithecidae
Description: lncRNA (ENSPTEG00000009875.1)
Source: RNAcentral